RNAcentral lists this ribosomal RNA (253 nucleotides) under uncultured bacterium. RNAcentral's name for it is "partial 16S ribosomal RNA". It matches the Rfam family "Bacterial small subunit ribosomal RNA", at positions 524 to 776 of the family's 1533-position model. The record is from RNAcentral.
GACGAACUGUGCAAACGUUAUUCGGAAUCACUGGGCUUAAAGGGUGCGUAGGCGGCUUGUUAAGUAGGGUGUGAAAUCCCCCGGCUCAACCGGGGAAUUGCGCCCUAAACUGGCGAGCUGGAGUGAGAUAGGGGUGUGUGGAACUUCCAGUGGAGCGGUGAAAUGUGUUGAUAUUGGAAGGAACGCCAGUGGCGAAAGCGACACACUGGGUCUCAACUGACGCUGAGGCACGAAAGCCAGGGGAGCAAACGGG